Molecule: small RNA, 118 nt
Filed under: Yersinia pestis
Lineage: Bacteria; Pseudomonadati; Pseudomonadota; Gammaproteobacteria; Enterobacterales; Yersiniaceae
Description: SodB 5' UTR thermometer
Rfam family: SodB 5' UTR thermometer
About the family: Involved in protection against oxidative stress.
Source: RNAcentral
UUUUAACCGCUCUUCACCCCACACCUCUCAACAAUGGUGGAUAGGAUUUGAAGAGCAAACACCCUGAGCAACCCCGAAAGGAGAGAGCUAUGUCUUUUGAAUUACCUGCAUUACCUUA